AGUUGCUAAAGUUGGACCUAAUGUUUCACCACCUUUUGCUUAUGAGAAUUCAGAAAUAUAUUUGAAAAAUGAAUACAAAAAAAAAUGAAAAAGUAUAUUGCCUCAUUUGAGAAUAUUUGGAACGAGAUGGGAGUUACCAUUAUGUGUAUGGAUGUAGUGGCCCAACUCGAAUGAGUAUUAUAAAUUUUCUUGUGUAUUCAACUAGUGGAACAUUGCUCCACAAAUCAGUUGGUGCAUCAAAUGUUUAACACAAAGAUGAAGAAUAUUACUUCAAGCUUAUAAAAGAGGUGGUUAAAGAAAUUAGUCCCAAAAAAGUUAUGUAAAUAGUAACUAAU
RNAcentral lists this unclassified non-coding RNA (335 nucleotides) under Hevea brasiliensis (rubber tree). The record is from RNAcentral. Lineage: Eukaryota; Viridiplantae; Streptophyta; Magnoliopsida; Malpighiales; Euphorbiaceae.